This is a long non-coding RNA of Numida meleagris (helmeted guineafowl), 3076 nucleotides long. RefSeq lists it as uncharacterized. The transcript is spliced from 5 exons. Lineage: Eukaryota; Metazoa; Chordata; Aves; Galliformes; Numididae. The record is from RefSeq and is a predicted model, not a curated record.
GCUAGUUGUAAGUUGUAGAAACGUAUGUAAAAUCUCUGUGAAGAGGUAGGGGUAUUCUUUUCUUUCCCUCAUUCACUGGGAUGAUCUGUGAACAUAUGACCUGUUGUGCAAUUGAUUUGAUUUUGAAAAAGAUGUUAAGAUGAACAAAUCCAUGGCUCCUAUUCUUAUCUCUGCUGAUGCCUGAGGUCCAGAGCCAUGGAUAUGCUUGGAAACCUGACCCAGACACCUGAAAGCUACCUGUGUUUCAGCUGGCAAGUGUCAUGUACCUGCUUAGCAUAUGGCACUGCUGUGCAUCCUGGGGUGCAAAGCAGGGGAAGACACCCAGACAGCACUGGACCCGCACUGCUGACAGCCCAGAGCAGACUGGCUUUAAGAGGAACAGUCCUCUUCUGGACCCCUAGACCCAUGUCCUUGCAUUUGCGCAAGCCAGGAUACAGGAUUUGGCCCUGUUUGUGUCUAAAACACAGGAGAAGAUAAAGACCACCACGAAGCACAGCUCUCUCAAGAAAAAUAAGCAGCAUCACACAACAAAGCCCAUGGGAACCAUUAGAUCCUGUGAGGGAAAGGUCAACUAAGGCUUAUAAAGGCAAAGUCACUUUCCAGUUUUUUAGCUUAUCUGCUGCUUUUUGCACAGGCAUUCAUGUGUGCAGGACUAACUGGCCUAGAUGAGCCGUGAAGCUGCUGUGUCUCCUCUCUCAGAGCCAUCUUCAACACAAAGGUUUCUUGGAUGUCCCCAAGCUGCUGGUGUGGCCAUCACUGUCCUCACAGGAGCAUACAUGUCCUGCCUGGUGUGGGUCAGAGAAGUGGGCUCUGCAUUGCUGAACACCUACGUGUUUCACACUGGUCUGUGGGAUGUAGCUGUCCUCCAUUUGCACAGUGGCUCAGAUGACAGCUGCCUUCAGACAGGUUGGGAAGAGUCACUGGAGUGUAUGAGUGGUGUAAUUAAACCUUUUUCCUCUUCUGUCCACAGCAAGUUUUUUGAAUUGUGAGGAUAUGGCAAUUAAUGCAGCUCUUCAAAUAGCUCUUUGAGGGAAGAAAUUUAGGAUGCAUGUGGGAGAUGGAACUAUCAUAAGUAUAUGGGAGAGAUUUACUCUUUAGAAGAAGGUUAAAUUUCAUUCUUAAUUACAAAUGUUCCUUUCUUAUAACAAUUUUCAAAUCAUGAUUCCAUGAAGAAUUAUUAUUCCGUAAGUUUGGAUAACAAGGCUAUGCCUAGUUUAUGCCAUUUAGAUGCAAACGAUCACUGUGGUGUGCAAAUGUCCCAAAUGAGGUGGAAGGCAAACAGACACUGAGGGCACAAAAACGCAAUAUGGAAAAAAUAGUACGUUUUUUAGUUAGAAUGGAUGUUUCAAGGGCUCAGCUCCUCAAAGCCCUUUCUCAUGCUAGUCCAUUGACCUCACUACAAACCUCUCAUGAGAGCCCAUGUCAGUGGAGUCAUUCCAAUAAGGAGUGUCUUCUGAGUUACUAUAGCUUUUCUAUUCUUGAGCAACAAUGUGAGAUGAUCCGUGCAGCUGACUUAGGAUCUCUGGGAGGUAGAACUGCAAUAAAUCAGAUAGUACAAAGGAAAUCAGAAGAUCAAAUAAGGCAACAAAAUGUUUACUGACAGUGUGGAGUCUGCUUCAGAAGGCUAUUUUAGAAGUGUGGAGUAGAGAAAUACCACCUACCAGAUCAGUUUUUUAAAGGACUGAAAGGAAAACAAAAUGCUAUCAUGGUCAAACAUCAAGGCGGUGGAAAUCCCUUGAUGAUAUUAAAGUCAUCUUUUAAAAAAUGAAAGUCUUAUCUCCACUGGGAAAAUAGGAAAAACAUAACCUCUAGCAAGUUGGGUGUUGAACUGCAAUAAAGUAAAAGAGCAAAGAUUUAGAGAGGAAACCUAGUAAUAGUGUGAAGGUUGCUGUAACACCUUUCUCAAAAACAUCAAGGCAGGAAGAUGGGCAAAAUGUCAACAGGACCAAUGUGUGAUGAAGGUGUAGCAAAAGCACUCUGUGAAGACAAGACAUAGUAGCGGAGCUAAAAGAUGUGUUUCUAUUAGUGCUGGUCACAAAAAUGGUCAGUGACUCCCACUGGAGUAAUUCUUUGCAGGAGGUGAAUGUGAGAAACUGAUAGAAGCAUCCAUAGGAAGGGUUUGGAAUAAGUCAGUAAUAUGAAUCUAACCAGUUCCCAGGACCAGAAGAAAUUCCUGCAGGAGCUUUAAGAGUAUUCUGGUGCAACACUACAGUCCCAUUUGAGUUACUGCAUAAAGCAUUUAAUGACCAAAAAAAAAAAAAAAGCUACAAAUGGGACACGAGUCUUUAAGAAAGAAUUGAGGAUCAGUCUGAAAAACUGAAAACUGAUGGGUUAGCAAGUCUGGCAUUCGUAUCAAGCCGAUCAGUAGAAGCUACUGUAAAGACAGCUCAAGGUAGAAGGAGCAACAUUCCCACUCACAAAGAAGCUCUUUCUGUGGAUCUUAAUCUUCAUCUCUGGCUGAAGACGGCAAAAUAGGGAUGUGAUACUAAAGAUGUCCCAAAGCACAGAGAUUUAAGGACAGCUAGGGCGAAGUCUCACAGCCCACAAGAAAGGUUUGUUGCAGGUAUGAUACACAAUGUGGAAAAACCUGUAGGCUUGAAAGGCUUUUGGAGGACUUUGGCAGAGAUAGCAUUGUGUUCUGUUUCAUGAAUGAGUACGUAGGAGCAAAAUCCUGACAUACCUUGAUCUCCAGCGUGCACCCAGGUUUUGCUGGCAAGUCUCUUAGCCAGGGGAUAACACUGGUGCAAUGUGAACAGGACGGGCAGAAGGCACAACACUGUUGUAUGGAUAUGCUCUGAGGAAAUCAGGCUUUGAGAGAGAAAGAAAUGGGAAAAAGUCUUUUAUUUGACUAUAAGACAGAAGCGGCUGGACAAAAGAGAGGGAUGUUAUUUGUGGGAUAUUACCUGGUUUUGGGCUUGUAACAUAAUGGACAGAUAAAGAAGAUAUGAGUAACUAAAUGAUUGAUGAUGAUGCAAAUAAAAAAAUGCAGCAGUUUCUCAGAAUGGCCUUAUGUUAGUCAGAAGGAGUUGCAGAGUUAAGUGAUUAAUACAAUGGCAAAUAAAAUUCAACAUCAGUA